CACCGCGGUUAUACGAGAGGCCCGAGUUGACAGACGCCGGCGUAAAGAGUGGUUAGAGGAAAUAGGAACUAGAGCUGAACUUCCCCCCGGCUGUCAUACGCACCCGGAGGAACGGAACCCCACCCACGAAAGUGGCUCUACCUUCACCUGACCCCACGACAACUAGGGAA
This 170-nucleotide ribosomal RNA is filed under the name Diplophos taenia (Pacific portholefish). Its description in RNAcentral is "partial small subunit ribosomal RNA". The record is from RNAcentral. Lineage: Eukaryota; Metazoa; Chordata; Actinopteri; Stomiiformes; Diplophidae.